GGUCCCGUGGUGAAGCUGGAGUUCACGCCGGCCUGUCAAGCCGGAGGUCGCGGGUUCGAGUCCCGUCGGGACCGCCA
Molecule: transfer RNA, 77 nt
Filed under: Actinomycetes bacterium
Lineage: Bacteria; Bacillati; Actinomycetota; Actinomycetes
Also listed under: 5 other names
Description: tRNA-Asp
Rfam family: tRNA
About the family: Transfer RNA (tRNA) molecules are approximately 80 nucleotides in length. Their secondary structure includes four short double-helical elements and three loops (D, anti-codon, and T loops). Further hydrogen bonds mediate the characteristic L-shaped molecular structure. tRNAs have two regions of fundamental functional importance: the anti-codon, which is responsible for specific mRNA codon recognition, and the 3' end, to which the tRNAs corresponding amino acid is attached (by aminoacyl-tRNA synthetases). tRNAs cope with the degeneracy of the genetic code in two manners: having more than one tRNA (with a specific anti-codon) for a particular amino acid; and 'wobble' base-pairing, i.e. permitting non-standard base-pairing at the 3rd anti-codon position.
Source: RNAcentral